This 79-nucleotide small RNA is filed under the name Flavobacterium sp. 103. RNAcentral's name for it is "Flavo-1 RNA". It matches the Rfam family "Flavo-1 RNA". The record is from RNAcentral. Lineage: Bacteria; Pseudomonadati; Bacteroidota; Flavobacteriia; Flavobacteriales; Flavobacteriaceae.
GAUUAGCCCCGAUGGAAGCGGCAUCCUUUUUAUCUCGUCUUUUCGAGAUAAAAAGAUAUAGCGCACAGCGGGAGUAAUG